This 1653-nucleotide ribosomal RNA is filed under the name Escherichia coli. Its description in RNAcentral is "partial 23S ribosomal RNA". It matches the Rfam family "Bacterial large subunit ribosomal RNA", at positions 612 to 2250 of the family's 2925-position model. Lineage: Bacteria; Pseudomonadati; Pseudomonadota; Gammaproteobacteria; Enterobacterales; Enterobacteriaceae. The record is from RNAcentral.
AUAAUGGGUCAGCGACUUAUAUUCUGUAGCAAGGUUAACCGAAUAGGGGAGCCGAAGGGAAACCGAGUCUUAACUGGGCGUUAAGUUGCAGGGUAUAGACCCGAAACCCGGUGAUCUAGCCAUGGGCAGGUUGAAGGUUGGGUAACACUAACUGGAGGACCGAACCGACUAAUGUUGAAAAAUUAGCGGAUGACUUGUGGCUGGGGGUGAAAGGCCAAUCAAACCGGGAGAUAGCUGGUUCUCCCCGAAAGCUAUUUAGGUAGCGCCUCGUGAAUUCAUCUCCGGGGGUAGAGCACUGUUUCGGCAAGGGGGUCAUCCCGACUUACCAACCCGAUGCAAACUGCGAAUACCGGAGAAUGUUAUCACGGGAGACACACGGCGGGUGCUAACGUCCGUCGUGAAGAGGGAAACAACCCAGACCGCCAGCUAAGGUCCCAAAGUCAUGGUUAAGUGGGAAACGAUGUGGGAAGGCCCAGACAGCCAGGAUGUUGGCUUAGAAGCAGCCAUCAUUUAAAGAAAGCGUAAUAGCUCACUGGUCGAGUCGGCCUGCGCGGAAGAUGUAACGGGGCUAAACCAUGCACCGAAGCUGCGGCAGCGACGCUUAUGCGUUGUUGGGUAGGGGAGCGUUCUGUAAGCCUGUGAAGGUGUACUGUGAGGUAUGCUGGAGGUAUCAGAAGUGCGAAUGCUGACAUAAGUAACGAUAAAGCGGGUGAAAAGCCCGCUCGCCGGAAGACCAAGGGUUCCUGUCCAACGUUAAUCGGGGCAGGGUGAGUCGACCCCUAAGGCGAGGCCGAAAGGCGUAGUCGAUGGGAAACAGGUUAAUAUUCCUGUACUUGGUGUUACUGCGAAGGGGGGACGGAGAAGGCUAUGUUGGCCGGGCGACGGUUGUCCCGGUUUAAGCGUGUAGGCUGGUUUUCCAGGCAAAUCCGGAAAAUCAAGGCUGAGGCGUGAUGACGAGGCACUACGGUGCUGAAGCAACAAAUGCCCUGCUUCCAGGAAAAGCCUCUAAGCAUCAGGUAACAUCAAAUCGUACCCCAAACCGACACAGGUGGUCAGGUAGAGAAUACCAAGGCGCUUGAGAGAACUCGGGUGAAGGAACUAGGCAAAAUGGUGCCGUAACUUCGGGAGAAGGCACGCUGAUAUGUAGGUGAAGUCCCUCGCGGAUGGAGCUGAAAUCAGUCGAAGAUACCAGCUGGCUGCAACUGUUUAUUAAAAACACAGCACUGUGCAAACACGAAAGUGGACGUAUACGGUGUGACGCCUGCCCGGUGCCGGAAGGUUAAUUGAUGGGGUUAGCGCAAGCGAAGCUCUUGAUCGAAGCCCCGGUAAACGGCGGCCGUAACUAUAACGGUCCUAAGGUAGCGAAAUUCCUUGUCGGGUAAGUUCCGACCUGCACGAAUGGCGUAAUGAUGGCCAGGCUGUCUCCACCCGAGACUCAGUGAAAUUGAACUCGCUGUGAAGAUGCAGUGUACCCGCGGCAAGACGGAAAGACCCCGUGAACCUUUACUAUAGCUUGACACUGAACAUUGAGCCUUGAUGUGUAGGAUAGGUGGGAGGCUUUGAAGUGUGGACGCCAGUCUGCAUGGAGCCGACCUUGAAAUACCACCCUUUAAUGUUUGAUGUUCUAACGUUGACCCGUAAUCCGGGUUGCGG